This is a long non-coding RNA of Cavia porcellus (domestic guinea pig), 1413 nucleotides long. RefSeq lists it as uncharacterized. Lineage: Eukaryota; Metazoa; Chordata; Mammalia; Rodentia; Caviidae. The transcript is spliced from 3 exons. The record is from RefSeq and is a predicted model, not a curated record.
UCCUGUAAGACCGUCUGGUACUGACAAGAGCUGGCUCUGUGUGGAGAGAGAAACAGAGAGGGAAGAAGGGGGAAACAAGAAGAAGCAGCAGCAGCAGAACCUCCUUGGUCAUGCAGUUGACCGUGACCGCACGGAGGCCCAGCCAGCUUGCUGUUUGUGUAAAGUUCAGGAACAAUGGAGACUCUUGUGCCUGGACCUGCUUCCAAUCCAAACAGGAUGGGACACGAGGGAGGGACGGGGCCUUGCACCAGACCUAGGAGAGAGAGCAGCAAGGGUGCAGGCCUUGCCUGAGGUGGCCCUCACUCGCCUGCGGUCCCCAGGAGUGGCACAUUUAGCUGCAGGGACGAGUGUUUGAUCUGAGCUGGGCACACUGCUGCCGAUGUGCAGAGGUUCACUGCCUGCUGGACCAAGGGGGUCCGCUCCGUGUUGGAGGUGCUUCAUGUUGCCUGUCAGGAGAGGUUUCUGAGCCAGAAAUCCCCUACCUCAAGAUCAGAGAGGUGUUCGGUUCCGCUUUCUUGUGGCUGAAUGUCCCACCAUGAGGUGCUGCUGAUGGUGUUUGGGGACCUGUGCCUCGGCAGGGGUAACUGACUUUAGAAAUAAAAAGAAAAUGAGCCAACUGGUAGCAGAGAAGAAUCACUAAGGUAUGCUUGGAAGAGGUAAGUGAACACAGCAGACACUGAGUCACACGAUGCUGAGCUCCGGGACCAGCGGUCCCAAACCCACAUGGCAGCGCACACUGGCUGGCAACGUAGCCUUCACAGGUGGGCACCACAUUGUGCUCAAGGUGGGAAACGUACCUUUGGUUACAGCUGAGGCUCUGUAGUGUUACAACAGUGCUUGUCAGACAGAAUAUUGGGAGAAAUACUUUGGGUAGACAGGAAGGCCUGGGGGAAGAGGCAGACUACAAGGACAAACGUGUGCCAACACCACCACAUGUGUCCCAGGGUGUGUGGCAACUUCAUCCUGCUGGUAUAGGAGAGCGUGUAGUUGCAGCCUGGCUUAGUCUGUUUCCUGUUGCUUUAGCAGAAGACUGUGGCUGGAUAAUUGAUACAGGGAAGGAGUUUGUUUGGAUCACAGUCCCAGGGCUGGUAAGUUCAAGAUUGAGGGCCUCCUACUACUUCUGCUCAUGGUGGAAAGUGGGUACAUGCAGGAGAGAAAAAGCAGCAACCCAAACUCCAGGAGGAGUUAACCUAUUCCUGUAGGAAAAGCAUUCAUCUGCCAUGAGGUCUUUGUCCCAGCAACCUGUCACACAUCCCCCAGAUGCCCCAUGCCCAUGCUGCUGCCCAUGAUGACAAGCAAAUUCCAGCGUGAACCUCAGCAGGGAUGUACCAUAUUUCAACCACAGCAGGGCCAAACAGUUGUCCUCAGAUAAAGACAUGGGCUCAGAGAGUCGCUGAGUGCAUGCUAUGAUAA